AACGAACGCUGGCGGCAUGCCUAACACAUGCAAGUCGAACGAGACCUUCGGGUCUAGUGGCGCACGGGUGCGUAACGCGUGGGAACCUGCCCUUAGGUUCGGAAUAACUCCCCGAAAGGGGUGCUAAUACCGGAUAAUGUCUUCGGACCAAAGAUUUAUCGCCUUUGGAUGGGCCCGCGUUGGAUUAGCUAGUUGGUAGGGUAAAAGCCUACCAAGGCGACGAUCCAUAGCUGGUCUGAGAGGAUGAUCAGCCACACUGGGACUGAGACACGGACCAGACUCCUACGGGAGGCAGCAGUGGGGAAUAUUGGACAAUGGGCGAAAGCCUGAUCCAGCAAUGCCGCGUGAGUGAUGAAGGCCUUAGGGUUGUAAAGCUCUUUUACCAGGGAUGAUAAUGACAGUACCGGGAGAAUAAGCUCCGGCUAACUCCGUG
Molecule: ribosomal RNA, 433 nt
Filed under: uncultured bacterium
Lineage: Bacteria
Description: partial 16S ribosomal RNA
Rfam family: Bacterial small subunit ribosomal RNA
Source: RNAcentral